GGAUGUGAGGGCGAUCUGGCUGUGACAUCUGUCACCCCAUUGAUCACCAUAGUUGAUUUGGCUGAUCUGGCUGGCUGGGCGGGUGUCCCCUUGCUCCCUCACCGCUCCAUAUGCGUCCCUUCCGAAGCUGCGCGCUCUGUCGAAAAGGACAGGACGACCACCCCCGACAGAGGAGGACCAUUUCCUUGCUCAAGGGUAUAUGAGUAGCUGCGCUCCCCAGCUAGAACCUCCAAACAAGCUCCCAAGAUCACAGUUGAUAGCUAACAGAGCAGACCUCUCUGAUGCAGGUCUUUUCUACAAGCUCUGCAGAGUCCUUU
Non-coding RNA from Fukomys damarensis (Damara mole-rat), 317 nucleotides. The record is from Rfam. NCBI's taxonomy places the organism in Eukaryota, Metazoa, Chordata, Mammalia, Rodentia, Bathyergidae.